ACUCUAUAUAAUAGUAUAAUCCAACAGAAUUAGUCCUCACUUUUAACAAUAGCAAUUGGAAUCAGAAUUUCUAUUGCUAGCAAUGUGGGUUGUCUUUGUUAAUUGGGGAUCACAGGUUGUUAAGCAAGGACUUCAUGGGACUCAAACUUGCAAUUUCCUGAUAAUUUCCAACUAGCAAAGUCAAUAAGGCAGAUUGUCACAAAUCCAGGAUGGCAGACGCAGGCUCUUGGUUUUCUUCUCGUUGUUGUAGCACUUUUAUUUGGAGAUAACGAAACCAAUUAAAUGCAGAACUUUGUAUGCUAAGACAGAAUUCCCCAACCUUUUCAGCUUUGCAGACCGGACGGUUGGAGAGGGGAUGUUUUCAUGUGAACAGCUGGUUUUAAAGGAAAAGUUGUCAGCAGCAAGAAACGGGAACUUUUUGACAAGGAAA
Molecule: long non-coding RNA, 430 nt
Organism: Thamnophis elegans (Western terrestrial garter snake)
Lineage: Eukaryota; Metazoa; Chordata; Lepidosauria; Squamata; Natricidae
Exons: 3
Source: RefSeq, a predicted model, not a curated record